Long non-coding RNA from Dioscorea cayenensis subsp. rotundata (Guinea yam), 1216 nucleotides. RefSeq lists it as uncharacterized. The transcript has 4 exons. Lineage: Eukaryota; Viridiplantae; Streptophyta; Magnoliopsida; Dioscoreales; Dioscoreaceae. The record is from RefSeq and is a predicted model, not a curated record.
AAAGUUAUCAAGAGCCCUCCAUCAAACAAAAACCCAUCCUCUCCUCCAUCUUCACCCCAAACCCUAACCCCCAAAUCUGGUCCCCAUACCCACUGCCCUUUAACUCCACGGCACUGCAAACCACCUCCACAUCCUCACCAUCCUCCUCCGAUGACACCGGUUCCGGCGACAGCCCCAACUCACCGUUUGCGAACUCUUCGUCACCCUCGGCGUCCUCGACUACGUCGCCCAAAACUCCUCGUCUAAUUGUGAAGCUACCAGGCCAACUACGUGUUUGCCCGGGUGUUUCUAUUCUAUUUCUAAGCCGCUCGUUGCUUCACUCACCGUCAUACCACCGCGGCCGCCAGAGCAAGAGGGAGGGAUCCAUAGAUGGAGACAAACGGGAUCGAGGUGAUGGCCAUGAACUUCGCCUACGAUGCCCAGCCUCAACUCUUCUCCCACUUCACCCUCAACAUCGCACCCUGAUCGCGCUGUCUCCUCAUUGGCGCCAAUGGAUCUGGAAAGACGACGUUGUUGAAGAUCUUGGCUGGGAAAGAUUUCUUUUUCAGUUUCUUAAAAUUGGGAUUUUCUUUUUGAAAGUUUCUCUAAUCCUGAUUGGUGUAUUUUCUUCGUGUUUUAUCUGAAUUUUUAGAUGUUGUCUUGUGCUUGUUGAAAGUUAUAGAUCUUGUCGUCAAGUGAAGGUUUUUUUUUUUUUGAGUUUUUUGCAAAUAUGUGAGUCCAUUUUCUUACAUGUUAAAUUUCAAAGAUUUUGCCAUGUUUUUUCUCAUUGAAUUCUAAGUCAAAUUUGUUCUGCUCAUUUACAGUCAUUUACAAUCAUCAAUUGCGUCAGGAUCUCUUAUCAAAUGGACAAAAGGCUUUAAAAUCGAUGGCACGGUCAGUUAUUAUAUUUAUGUUUCACACGAUACUAUUUGAUCUAAUGUCUUUAAAAUCGACGACGUUGUUGAAGAUCUGGAGCAAGACCAUUGGCUAAGCUGGAGAUGUUCCACUCCAAGGAGAUUUCUCUGCUGAACACAUGAUUUUUGGAGUGACAUUGAAGAAGCAGCUAAGCACUGUCCAAUUCCGAAAAGAGCUCGUAUUUCUUUAAGAUUAAGUAUAGGGUUUAUGAUGAUGUAUAGAGUUAUGUUAGAUUGGACUUUAUUAUUGUAAUAGUGCUAUGAUUGUAAUAACAUUUUGCAUAUUUAACGAAUAUUGUAAUUUAUAUUUUGAUGAAAUUAAA